GAUGAACGCUGGCGGCGUGCCUAAUACAUGCAAGUCGAGCGAACAGACGAGGAGCUUGCUCCUCUGACGUUAGCGGCGGACGGGUGAGUAACACGUGGAUAACCUACCUAUAAGACUGGGAUAACUUCGGGAAACCGGAGCUAAUACCGGAUAAUAUAUUGAACCGCAUGGUUCAAUAGUGAAAGACGGUUUUGCUGUCACUUAUAGAUGGAUCCGCGCCGCAUUAGCUAGUUGGUAAGGUAACGGCUUACCAAGGCAACGAUGCGUAGCCGACCUGAGAGGGUGAUCGGCCACACUGGAACUGAGACACGGUCCAGACUCCUACGGGAGGCAGCAGUAGGGAAUCUUCCGCAAUGGGCGAAAGCUUGACGGAGCAACGCCGCGUGAGUGAUGAAGGUCUUCGGAUCGUAAAACUCUGUUAUUAGGGAAGAACAAAUGUGUAAGUGACUAUGCACGUCUUGACGGUACCUAAUCAGAAAGCCACGGCUAACUACGUG
This 497-nucleotide ribosomal RNA is filed under the name uncultured bacterium. Its description in RNAcentral is "partial 16S ribosomal RNA". It matches the Rfam family "Bacterial small subunit ribosomal RNA", at positions 28 to 507 of the family's 1533-position model. The record is from RNAcentral.